GGUUCGAUGGUGUAGUUGGUUUAUCACUUCUGUCUAACAUCUUCCCAAUUGGGCAGUAGUUCCACAGGCGGUCCUCAGUUCGAGCCUGGGUCGAAUCA
Molecule: non-coding RNA, 98 nt
Organism: Mycena epipterygia
Lineage: Eukaryota; Fungi; Basidiomycota; Agaricomycetes; Agaricales; Mycenaceae
Source: the annotation of a GenBank genome assembly